CGCACGGCGAGGUCCCCUGGGAACUUCGGUCCAGCCUCCCUGCGAACGACGCCGAUGGGACCCCCGUCCCGUCGGUCCCGCCCCCAGCCCAGCCCUCCCGGGUGGCUGCGGUCCUCCCGCUUCCUGGCGCGCCUUCAGGAAGUGUUCCGACAAUAAAGACAUCAUCGAUAUAUUAACUCACGUCUUCAGAGCUUCAGGCACAUUCUGCAGAGACGUCCUCCAAAUGGAAAACAACGCUGCAGUAAAGCGGACAGUGUGGGCCCGGCUGUCACGGCUUUGAUGGCUGGACUUGGAACAAGGAGGGCAGAAGAGGAGUGAACGCUCACCAGCCCAGGACCCGGCGGGGACAGAUGACCCCCGUCCAGGCGGCCGGCCCAGAGCCGCCUCCACUCCCAUGUUGCUUCCCCUCCGUCUGCUUCUGCAGAGACGUUUCGAGAAGCAGUGGCUGCUUGUCACAGCCCGGUUCUGCCUCUGAAGCCGGUGACAGCCCCACGGGAAGGCGUCCGGGCUGCUUCUCGGGCUCCCACAGGCCCUGGGCCCUGCGAAGGCUUCUGCGGCACAGGGGUGCCGGGGGCGCAGGGGGCGCUGGGGGAGGAUUUGUUCCAUGGGCCUCAGCGCCCUAGGGAGGAGGGCAGUCUCCCCCGUUUCACAGAGGAGGAAAGCUGAGCUGGAAGAGGACACCGAUUUGUCCAGUGUCACCCCUCCUGGGGAGAGCCAGGAUGGCAUCCGGGGACCUCUGAGAGGAAGGGGGAGCAAGCCACACAGGGACGCGGCGCCCAAGGCUCCGGGUCCUGGCGGGCAGUCGGGGGCCCUCCAGCCAACGCCCCCUUUAGCCUCCAUGUCACAGUUGGGCCACGUUCUCCUUAGUGGGAUUCACUCAUUCAUUCACUUAUCCAACAACAGAUACCCAUGGAGAAUCUUCUAGAAGCCCAGGCUUGUGUCACUGCAGGGAGAGGAAUAAACAAAACAGUAAGCCUCCAGUCUCACUGGUUUUCGGGGGUCAGGCCCUGUUCCCGCCACCCCCAGGGACCCUCCUCGCUACAGAAGGGGCAGCUUCACCCUGGUCUGCCUCAGAUUUCUUCUCCCCUCCCCGGAGCAGCCCCUAGAUGGGAGUGAGACCCUCCCUCCCUCCCUCCCCACAGCCCACCCAGGCCUCUGCCCCGGACCCUUAUGCUUUCAGCUCUGCUGGGACAGGCCAGGGGCCAGGGCGCCCCCGGAGCUGCAGCGGGGCCAGGAGGGGCCUGGAGGAGCGGGCCAGCAGAGGUGUGUUUUGAAAUCUGUUUCCUUUUGGCCACGCUUGAACUUCCAAGGGGCUGGGUUUGACUGACAGGCGCAGAAAGGGCGCGCUGGCUCCCCGGGGAGCCCGGGGCAGAGACGGAGGGGCUCCACAGGGGCUCGGCUCUCGCGCAUCCUCUGCCCUUC
Long non-coding RNA from Equus asinus (donkey), 1422 nucleotides. The record is from Ensembl. Lineage: Eukaryota; Metazoa; Chordata; Mammalia; Perissodactyla; Equidae.